GAUGAACGCUGGCGGCGUGCCUAAUACAUGCAAGUCGAGCGAACAGACGAGGAGUUUGCCUCCUUGACGUUAGCGGCGGACGGGAGAGUCACACGUGGAUAACCUACCUAUAAGACUGGGAUAACUUCGGGAAACCGGAGCUAAUACCGGACAAUAUAUUGAACCGCAUGGUCCAAUAGUGAAAGACGGCUUUGCUGUCACGUAUAGAUGGAUCCGCGCCGCAUUAGCUAGUUGGUAAGGUAACGGCUUACCAAGGCGACGAUGCGUAGCCGACCUGAGGGGGUGGUCGGCCGCACGGGAGCGCGAACACGCUCCAGACGACUGCGAGAGGCAGCAGAAGGGAACCGGACGCAGUGGGCGGAAGCAUGGCGCAGCAGCCCAGCGUGAGUGAUAACGAUCUUCGGAUCGUGAUGCUCUGUUAUUGGUGGUAAACAAAUGUGUAAGGAGAAGAACACGUAUUGACGGUACCUGAACAGAAAGCCCCGGCUAACUACGUG
RNAcentral lists this ribosomal RNA (497 nucleotides) under uncultured bacterium. RNAcentral's name for it is "partial 16S ribosomal RNA". It matches the Rfam family "Bacterial small subunit ribosomal RNA", at positions 28 to 507 of the family's 1533-position model. The record is from RNAcentral.